GACGACCCCACCGCCCAUCACCUUUUGGUGAUGCAAUCAGUCAUGUGGCGUGCAGUUGGACGGUAGGAUCCCAAUGGACUCUUUGAUCAAUGAAUGUUUAAUAGUGAUAUUUUCCUAUAAUUUAAAAAAAACUGAUUUAAUAAAGACAACCCAAAUAUCAAUUUCCCAAUGUAUUAGGUUUCCUAGACUAUCAAGUCCGUGGCCUCAAUACCAGAUAUGCACUUGUCCACUUGACCACUGCCGAUAUUGACAAAUGUGAAAGGUCAAGUAUGUUGCAAAUAUCAUGUGACGCCCAAAAAUUCUUUAUCAAUAUUGUAUAUUGCGACUAUAUAAUAAUUAUUAUAAAAUUAAAUGUAUUCUCAAAAACUUUGAAAACAUGAAGGUGCUUUCUCGGGUUUUAAUUUUGUUGGCUAUAGCAGAAGUCGUUUAUUUGCAUGAGGGAUGUAUCAGCGGUGAGGAAGCGCAAUGGGCCAAAAUAAUGUUAUCGUACCCUUACGAAUGCUUGGAUCCGCAAUAUUUAUUAGAGAUGUUGACGUGUUUCGAUACGCCGCAUAAUAAUAUUACCUAUGGAGAAGGAAUCAAUCAAUGUGUGAGUAAAUCCUACGCGUUGAGCGGAGUUGUUUGCAGAAGUAAUUGUACCCCAAUGUUGAAUGAGUUACUGUAUAUGGCUGUUCGAAAAUACAAUUUCAACUGUUACAACCAAAAAUUUUUGGAAUUGUGGUUCAAAUGCAUUUUCGACAUUCGUAAAAGUGCCGAAUGCCCAGUAAAUGGUUACAGUUCAUGUACCAUACAAGUUAAGGAUCUAGUCCUAUAAAUUAUAUUUUCCUCAAAUAAUAAGCUCAACCAAAUGUAGGUACACAUUUUUUCCUUCUUUACGUUUGUGUAAUCCUGAUGUGUAUUUAGUUUGAAGUGUCACAAGUUAUAUAUUGUAUUUAUCGCAAAAAAGUAUAAAUGGUGCACACAUUUUGUGCAGAUAAAGGAG
This is a long non-coding RNA of Photinus pyralis (common eastern firefly), 982 nucleotides long. RefSeq lists it as uncharacterized. NCBI's taxonomy places the organism in Eukaryota, Metazoa, Arthropoda, Insecta, Coleoptera, Lampyridae. The record is from RefSeq and is a predicted model, not a curated record. The transcript is spliced from 2 exons.